AAUACGUACUACGACACUUUAGCACGAAUCUGGCUCUGAUCGAUGAGACGCAGCGAAUGCGAUACGUAUGCGAAUGCAGAAUCAGUGAUCAUCAAUCUUGAACGCAAAUGGCACUGUCGGAUAGGCCUGACAGUACGCUCUUCAGAGUCGUUCAACACACCUCGGCGGCAUCUCUUCAUUGAGACUGCGCAGCUGGAGAUUGAGUCGGUCACCGAGUUAACUCUUUGGUGUCCCUUCAAAUGUGGCAAGGCUUCAGUGUAGUGCUCUUCGCGGACAGUAUUCCGAUUGUACUCGCUAGCGACGUGGAUACUCGAUCUCUUUUGGUCUUGAAUCCAAUACGUGGUUAGUGUUUAGGAAAGGAGAAUUGCGCCGUGUGCACCGUCUGUGACUCCUCUCUUUUGAGGACAAACAGGCUGAUUCGCUUGUUUUUGAUUUGCAUUUGUGCGCCUCGUGUGUACAAACUGCCGAUCAAAUCCACACACUUGUGUGUGCUGUUUUCGACUAAGACCUGAAAUGAAGUGAGACUACCCGCUGAACUUAAGCAUAUCAUUAAGCGGAGGAAAAGAAACCAACAGGGAUGCCCUUAGUGACGGCGAGUGAAGCGGCAAAA
RNAcentral lists this ribosomal RNA (610 nucleotides) under uncultured eukaryote. RNAcentral describes it as "eukaryotic LSU rRNA". The stretch from base 505 to 610 matches the Rfam family "Eukaryotic large subunit ribosomal RNA", at positions 1 to 106 of the family's 3401-position model. The record is from RNAcentral.